Molecule: long non-coding RNA, 876 nt
Filed under: Homo sapiens (human)
Lineage: Eukaryota; Metazoa; Chordata; Mammalia; Primates; Hominidae
Description: HSALNT0088107
Source: RNAcentral
UGAAACCUUUUAGGCUGAAGGGGAAGCAUUCUGAAAUAGGACAAGGGGCACCUCGUGUUGAAACCUGGAGCUGGUCAACCCUCUGAGGCCAAUGCCGACCUUUGCAUCUGCCUCCCACGCCCUGCUUGUUUUAGCUGGACCAGGAGAAACUAAUGUCAAGACAAAAAAAAAAAAAACCUGAAAUCCAUAACAUUUUGAUAGGUAGCUUUAUGAACAGUUACAAAUCAGAUGUUUGCCCCCCAAAUUUUAACUUUAUUCUCUGAAACAGAUCUAAAAUUCCUAUCUACCUCACAGUUUCACAGAUAACCCAGUCUCUUCCAGUUUAUAACUGCCUCUUUGGCAUGUCUGCAACAUGGAUGCAAUGAUAUAACCUUAUUUUAUGUAUCAUCCAUUCACCUGUUGAUCAAAGACUGUAUUCAAGAUGGCAGGCACGGUGAAGUCAAUGAUAACUCUAGUUUAUUGAGAAACUACUCGGCAUCAUACAUUAUCUUAAUUAAUCCUCUUUACAAUCCCAGAAAGUGUUCCUUAUCCUUUAUCUUCAAGUACCCUAAGGUGCAAAGCACAGAAGGAGGGGUGGUUUAGAAAGACUGGGCUCGGCCGGGCGCAGUGGCUCACGCCUGUAAUCCCAGCACUUUGGGAGGCCGAGGUAGGCGAAUCACCUGAGGACCGGAGUUCAAGACCAGCCUAACCAACAUGGAGAAAUCCCGUCUCUACUAAAAAUACAAAAUUAGCCGGGUGUGGUGGCGCAUGCCUGUAAUCCCAUCUACUCUGGAGGCUGAGGCAGGAGAAUGGCUUGAACCUGGGAGGCAGAGGUUGCUGUGAGCCGAGAUCACGCCAUCGCACUCCAGCCUAGGCAACAAGAGCGAAACUCCAUCU